GCCCCUGUAGCUCAGUAGGAUAGAGCGACAGAUUCCUAAUCUGUAGGCCGCCCGUUCAAGUCGGGCCAGGGGCACCA
RNAcentral lists this transfer RNA (77 nucleotides) under Desulfobacteraceae bacterium. RNAcentral's name for it is "tRNA-Arg". It matches the Rfam family "tRNA". From Rfam's summary of the family: Transfer RNA (tRNA) molecules are approximately 80 nucleotides in length. Their secondary structure includes four short double-helical elements and three loops (D, anti-codon, and T loops). Lineage: Bacteria; Pseudomonadati; Thermodesulfobacteriota; Desulfobacteria; Desulfobacterales; Desulfobacteraceae. The record is from RNAcentral. RNAcentral also lists the same sequence under 1 other name.